This is a small nucleolar RNA of Mastomys coucha (southern multimammate mouse), 144 nucleotides long. RefSeq annotates it as small nucleolar RNA SNORA48. The transcript has a single exon. NCBI's taxonomy places the organism in Eukaryota, Metazoa, Chordata, Mammalia, Rodentia, Muridae. The record is from RefSeq and is a predicted model, not a curated record.
CCCCCUCGACAAUGGGCAAAGAUACUCCUUGUUUGUGGCAUUGUUCUUAUAUCAGUCAAGGACAGAGCAAAUAACAGUCCUUUGUGCAUUCUAGCUUGAUUUUUGGCAUGGUAGCUAAAGCUGUCUUAUGCCUAGGACUCAAAA